Molecule: transfer RNA, 72 nt
Filed under: Camelus bactrianus (Bactrian camel)
Lineage: Eukaryota; Metazoa; Chordata; Mammalia; Artiodactyla; Camelidae
Also listed under: 2 other names
Rfam family: tRNA
About the family: Transfer RNA (tRNA) molecules are approximately 80 nucleotides in length.
Source: Rfam by way of RNAcentral
GAGGGUAUAGCUCAGGGGUAGACCACAUGCUUAGCAUGCAUGAGGUCCUGGGUUCAAUCCCCAGUUCCUCCA